This is a small nuclear RNA of Neolamprologus brichardi, 164 nucleotides long. Its record names the gene U1. It matches the Rfam family "U1 spliceosomal RNA". Rfam says of the family: U1 is a small nuclear RNA (snRNA) component of the spliceosome (involved in pre-mRNA splicing). Its 5' end forms complementary base pairs with the 5' splice junction, thus defining the 5' donor site of an intron. There are significant differences in sequence and secondary structure between metazoan and yeast U1 snRNAs, the latter being much longer (568 nucleotides as compared to 164 nucleotides in human). NCBI's taxonomy places the organism in Eukaryota, Metazoa, Chordata, Actinopteri, Cichliformes, Cichlidae. The record is from Ensembl.
AUACUUACCUGGUAGAAGAGAUACCAUGAUCAAGAAGGUGGUUCUCUCAGGCCGAGGCUCAGCCAUUGCACUCUGGCUUAGCUGACAUCCUGCGAUUUCCCCAAAUGUGGGAAUCUCGACUACAUAAUUUCUGAUAGUGGGGACUGCGUUCGCGCUAUCUCCUA